Molecule: ribosomal RNA, 305 nt
Filed under: uncultured bacterium
Lineage: Bacteria
Description: bacterial SSU rRNA
Rfam family: Bacterial small subunit ribosomal RNA
Source: RNAcentral
CCUACGGGGCGCAGCAGUGGGGGAUAUUCCACAAUGGGGGGAACCCUGAUGCAGCGACGCCGCGUGGGUGAAGAAGCGCCUCGGCGCGUAAAGCCCUGUCAGCAGGGAAGAAAAUGACGGUACCUGAAGAAGAAGCCCCGGCUAACUACGUGCCAGCAGCCGCGGUAAUACGUAGGGGGCAAGCGUUAUCCGGAUUUACUGGGUGUAAAGGGGGCGCAGACGGCGAUGCAAGCCAGGAGUGAAAGCCCGGGGCCCAACCCCGGGACUGCUCUUGGAACUGCGUGGCUAGAGUGCAGGAGUGGCAG